GCCCCGGUAGCUCAGUUGGUAGAGCAGGUGACUCUUAAUCACUCGGUCCCAGGUUCGAGCCCUGGCCGGGGCA
RNAcentral lists this transfer RNA (73 nucleotides) under Candidatus Methylacidithermus pantelleriae. It matches the Rfam family "tRNA". Rfam says of the family: Transfer RNA (tRNA) molecules are approximately 80 nucleotides in length. Their secondary structure includes four short double-helical elements and three loops (D, anti-codon, and T loops). Lineage: Bacteria; Pseudomonadati; Verrucomicrobiota; Methylacidiphilae; Methylacidiphilales; Methylacidiphilaceae. The record is from Rfam by way of RNAcentral.